Molecule: non-coding RNA, 781 nt
Filed under: Limenitis reducta
Lineage: Eukaryota; Metazoa; Arthropoda; Insecta; Lepidoptera; Nymphalidae
Source: RNAcentral
GUAUAUAAAUAAAUUUUUUAUGUUUUUUAAAAUUUAUUAUAAAUUUAUUUUACAUGUAAAUUUUAGUAUAAAAUUUUAAUUAUUUUAAUAAUAAUUAAUUUAAUUAUACAGUAAUUAAUAUUAAAAAUUUAAGAAAUUAAGAUUUAGUAAUAUUUAAAUUAAUAACUAAUUUUGUGCCAGCAGUUGCGGUUAAACAAAAGUUAAAUUAAAUUAUUUCAGUAUAUAAUAAAUAUUUGAUAUUUAAAUUAAAUAUUAAAUUAUUAAGUGAAAUUUUAAUUUAAUUAAAAAUUAUAUAAAAAUUAUGAUUUAAUAAAUUUUAUUAUAAACUAGGAUUAGAUACCCUAUUAUUAAAAAAUUAAUUAAAAAUACUAAAAUAGUAAAUAAAAUAUUAUUGAAACUUAAAUAAUAUGGCGGUAUUUUAGUUCAUUUAGAGGAAUCUGUCUAGUAAUUGAUAAUCCACGAAUAAAUUUACUUAAUUUAUAAUUUUGUAUAUCAUUGUUAAAAAAAUAUUUUUUAAUAAAAAUAAUAUUUUAAAAUUUAAAAUAAAAUUUAAUUCAGAUCAAGAUGCAGAUUAUAGUUAAGUUUAAGAUGGGUUACAAUAAAUUUAUUUAAAUGAAAAUAAUUUUGUAAUAUUUAAUUGAAAGUGGAUUUAAAUGUAAUUUUAAUUAAUUUAUUAAAAUGAUUAAAAAUUGAAAUAUGUACAUAUUGCCCGUCACUUUCAUUUAAAAAUUGAAAUAAGUCGUAACAAAGUAGAGGUACUGGAAAGUGUUUCUAGAAUGAU